CGGUUAAAAAGCUCGUAGUUGGAUCUCGGAGUGUGAGUGAAUGGUCGAUCGAAAGAUUGUACUGUUCGGCACACUCUUCUCUUCGGUUGCGUGUGUAGUGCCCUUAACUGAGUGCUGCACUCGACCGGAAUUUUUACCUUGAAAAAAUUAGAGUGUUCAAAGCAGACCUGAUUAUGUCUGAAUAUUCGUGCAUGGAAUAAUAAAAUAAGAACUUGGUUCUAUUUUAUUGGUUUUCGGAACUCGAGUUAAUGAUUAAGAGGGACAGACGGGGGCAUCCGUACUCUGCCGUUAGAGGUGAAAUUCUUGGAUCGGCGGAAGACGCGCAACUGCGAAAGCAUUUGCCAAGAAUGUUUUCUUUAAUCAAGAACGAAAGUCGGAGGUUCGAAGACGAUCAGAUACCGUCCUAGUUUCGACUGUAAACUAUGCCAGCUAACGAUCAGACAGCGUUCUCUACGACUUGUCUGGCAGUUUCCGGGAAACCAAAGCUUUUGGGUUCCGGGGGAAGUAUGGUUGCAAAGCUGAAACUUAAAGGAAUUGACGGAAGGGCACCACCAGGAGUGGAGCCUGCGGCUUAAUUUGACUCAACACGGGGAAACUCACCCGGCCCGGACACAGUGAGGAUUGACAGAUUGAGAGU
This 637-nucleotide ribosomal RNA is filed under the name uncultured eukaryote. Its description in RNAcentral is "SSU rRNA". It matches the Rfam family "Eukaryotic small subunit ribosomal RNA", at positions 616 to 1255 of the family's 1831-position model. The record is from RNAcentral.